UUUGCAAGUGAUGAUAAAAGAGAUGGGGACAUGGAAAUCCUUUCUGAGAAAAAAUGAAUGUUGAUUCGUCUUUGGAAUCUCUGUGAUGCAUA
Papaver somniferum (opium poppy) is the source of this 92-nucleotide small nucleolar RNA. RefSeq annotates it as small nucleolar RNA R44/J54/Z268 family. Lineage: Eukaryota; Viridiplantae; Streptophyta; Magnoliopsida; Ranunculales; Papaveraceae. The transcript has a single exon. The record is from RefSeq and is a predicted model, not a curated record.